RNAcentral lists this ribosomal RNA (446 nucleotides) under uncultured bacterium. RNAcentral describes it as "partial 16S ribosomal RNA". It matches the Rfam family "Bacterial small subunit ribosomal RNA", at positions 338 to 795 of the family's 1533-position model. The record is from RNAcentral.
CCUACGGGUGGCUGCAGUCGAGAAUCAUUCACAAUGGGGGAAACCCUGAUGGUGCGACGCCGCGUGGGUGAAUGAAGUUCUUCGGAUUUUAAACCCCUGUCAUGUGGGAGCAAAUUAAAACGAUAGUACCACCACAUGAAGAGACUGCUAACUCUGUGCCAGCAGCCGCGGUAAUACAGAGGUCUCAAGCGUUGUUCGGAAUCACUGGGCGUAACGCGUGCGUAGGCUGUUUCGUAAGUCGGGUGUGAAAGGCGCGGGCUCAACCCGCGGAGGGCCCAUGAUACUGCGAGACUCGAGUAAUGGAGGGGGAACCGGAAUUCUCGGUGUAGCAGUGAAAUGCGUAGAUAUCGAGAGGAACACUCGUGGCGAAGGCGGGUUACUGGACAUUAACUGACGCUGAGGCACGAAGGCCAGGGGAGCGAAAGGGAUUAGAUACCCUUGUAGUC